This is a non-coding RNA of Nicotiana attenuata, 160 nucleotides long. NCBI's taxonomy places the organism in Eukaryota, Viridiplantae, Streptophyta, Magnoliopsida, Solanales, Solanaceae. The record is from Rfam.
UGUACCUUUAUCCUUGGAGGCUAAGUUGGUAAUUUUUCUUACAUCUCCCCCUCUCGGAGCCCAGGUAUCAUAUACGCCCCCAAAAUAAAGAGCCUUGAAUACUAGAAGAAAAUUGAAAAAUAAAAUUAAGAGUGCUUAGUGUUUGGUCUUCUUUGUUCUA